Molecule: ribosomal RNA, 301 nt
Filed under: uncultured bacterium
Lineage: Bacteria
Description: partial 16S ribosomal RNA
Rfam family: Bacterial small subunit ribosomal RNA
Source: RNAcentral
CAGCAGCCGCGGGAAUACAGAGGAUGCAAGCGUUAUCCGGAAUGAUUGGGCGUAAAGCGUCUGUAGGUGGCUUUUCAAGUCCGCCGUCAAAUCCCAGGGCUCAACCCUGGACAGGCGGUGGAAACUACCAAGCUGGAGUACGGCAGGGGCAGAGGGAAUUUCCGGUGGAGCGGUGAAAUGCGUAGAUAUAGGAAGGAACACCAGUGGCGAAGGCGACUACCUGGACUGAUACUGACACUGAGGUGCGAAAGCGUGGGGAGCAAACAGGAUUAGAUACCCCCGUAGUCCCUGUCUCUUAUAC